Molecule: long non-coding RNA, 346 nt
Organism: Cyprinus carpio (common carp)
Lineage: Eukaryota; Metazoa; Chordata; Actinopteri; Cypriniformes; Cyprinidae
Exons: 3
Source: RefSeq, a predicted model, not a curated record
UCAGAAUAUUGCAGUGUUGAUUUUUUACUGACCUUAAAUAUGAUAAUAUGAUAAUAUUUUGUACACUGCAGCGCACGCUGUUCCCUCCUGGCCAAUAUCACAGGAACUGACAUCUACAGAGAUCGCAAAGACUACAGAUCUAUUUACGAACCUGAUGGGGUUAAAAUAUUCAAAAUUCCCUCACCCAUCUUCUUUGCUAAUACUGAUUUUUUCAAAGACAAACUGGUGCAAGCAGUGGGUUUUAGUCCCCUAAAAGUGUUGAAGAAAAGGAACAAAGCUCUGCGAAAGAUCAGAAAAAUGCUGCUUAAUGGGGAACUGGAGGUUUCAUAUGUAAGUCCUGAAAAAA